This 389-nucleotide ribosomal RNA is filed under the name uncultured bacterium. RNAcentral's name for it is "bacterial SSU rRNA". It matches the Rfam family "Bacterial small subunit ribosomal RNA", at positions 32 to 409 of the family's 1533-position model. The record is from RNAcentral.
AAUCAACGCUGGCGGCGUGCCUCAGACAUGCAAGUCGAACGCGAAAGUCCCCUUCGGGGGAGUGAUUAGAGUGGCGCACGGGUGAGUAACACGUAGGUAAUCUACCUUCGAGUGGGGAAGUAAACUCAGGGAAACUUGAGCUAAUACCGCAUAAUGCAGCGGCACCACAUGGUGACAGUUGUUAAAGCAUUUAUGCGCUUGAAGAGGAGCCUGCGGCGGAUAGCUAGUUGGUAAGGUAAUGGCUUACCAAGGCUACGAUCUGUAACCGGCCUGAGAGGGCGGACGGUCACACUGACACUGAAUAACGGGUCAGACUCCUACGGGAGGCAGCAGGUCGGGAAUUUUGGGCAAUGGGCGAAAGCCUGACCCAGCAACGCCGCGUGAAGGAU